UAGGGAAUUUUGCGCAAUGGGGGAAACCCUGACGCAGCAACACCGCGUGAAUGUUAAGCCCUUCGGGGUGUAAAGUUCUGUCAGUGGGGACGAAAUAUGACUGUACCCACAAAGGAAGCACCGGCUAACUCCGUGCCAGCAGCCGCGGUAAUACGGAGGAUCCGAGCGUUAUCCGGAUUUAUUGGGUUUAAAGGGAGCGUAGGCGGAUUAUUAAGUCAGUUGUGAAAGUUUGCGGCUCAACCGUAAAAUUGCAGUUGAUACUGGUAGUCUUGAGUGCAGUAGAGGUGAGCGGAAUUCGUGGUGUAGCGGUGAAAUGCGUAGAUAUUAGGAGGAACACCGGUGGCGAAGGCGGCUUAUUGGACUGUAACUGACGUUGAGGCUCGAAAGCGUGGGGAGCAAACA
Molecule: ribosomal RNA, 402 nt
Filed under: uncultured bacterium
Lineage: Bacteria
Description: bacterial SSU rRNA
Rfam family: Bacterial small subunit ribosomal RNA
Source: RNAcentral